RNAcentral lists this long non-coding RNA (456 nucleotides) under Ananas comosus (pineapple). Its description in RNAcentral is "long non-coding RNA (ACOM_LNC039311)". The record is from RNAcentral. Lineage: Eukaryota; Viridiplantae; Streptophyta; Magnoliopsida; Poales; Bromeliaceae.
GUCAAGUCUAUUUCUGCAUCUAUUUCGUGCAGAAAUGACUCCGACUCAGUCCGACACUCUCCAGACGUGUCGACCAGUCACUAAUACUGUAGCUAAUCCUGUCCAAACCUCAGGAACACUACAUUAAAUGAGCUUGGCUUGAAUAGAGGAAAAAACUCGAGAUAUAUUUCAAGCUGAGCUUGAGUAUUUGGGCUGGAAUACUAUUAAUAGUUUUUAGACUUUUUUGCUAUUUAGUUUUCAACCCUUCAAUAAAAUUUUGUAGGGUUAAGAUAAUAGCGAUCCUAUAGGGUUGAGUGGGUAGAUAGUUGAAUAGUAUGAUCUAAAUGAUGUAAUUGAUUGAAAUGUAAAUCUAACGGCUAAAAAAUUAAAAGCAAAAAAUCCCAAAUAUUAUUAAUAGUAUUCCAACUCUCUCUCUCUAUAUUAAAAAUAUUCAUAAAUUUUAUAUAAUAUAUAUUU